RNAcentral lists this ribosomal RNA (253 nucleotides) under uncultured bacterium. Its description in RNAcentral is "partial 16S ribosomal RNA". It matches the Rfam family "Bacterial small subunit ribosomal RNA", at positions 524 to 776 of the family's 1533-position model. The record is from RNAcentral.
UACGAAGGUGGCAAGCGUUACUCGGAAUUACUAGGCGUAAAGGGCAGGUAGGUGGUUCGGUAAGUCUGCUGUGUAAGCUCCCGGCUUAACUGGGAGAGGUCAACGGAAACUACCGGACUUGAGUAUGGGAGAGGGUUCUGGAAUUCCCGGUGUAGCGGUGAAAUGCGCAGAUAUCGGGAGGAACACCAAUGGCGAAAGCAGGAGCCUGGACCAUUACUGACACUCAGCUGCGAAAGCUAGGGGAGCAAACAGG